UUACCAGCUUGAACUGACCGAAAGUCGCAAGCAGAGGUGCUGCAUGGCUGUCGUCAGCUCGUGUCGUGAGAUGUUGGGUUAAGUCCCGCAACGAGCGCAACCCUGUUGCUGUUGCCAUCAUAUGGGACUCUGCAAGACUGCCGGUGAUAACCGGAGGAAGGUGGGGAUGACGUCAAGUCAGCAUGGCCUUUAUGCUGGGCUACACACGUGCUACAAUGGGGCACAACCGGCACCGCGAGGGGAGCAAUCGGAAAACCGUCUCAGUUCGGAUUGUAGGCUGCAACUCGCCUGCAUGAAGUUGGAAUCGCUAGUAAUCGCGAUCAGACGCGCGGUGAAUCGUUCCCGGGCCUUGUACACACCGCCCGUCACAUCACGAAAGCCGGUGACUGAA
This 391-nucleotide ribosomal RNA is filed under the name uncultured bacterium. RNAcentral describes it as "bacterial SSU rRNA". It matches the Rfam family "Bacterial small subunit ribosomal RNA", at positions 971 to 1425 of the family's 1533-position model. The record is from RNAcentral.